UACGGGGGGGGCAAGCGUUGUUCGGAAUUACUGGGCGUAAAGGGCUCGUAGGCGGCCAACUAAGUCGGACGUGAAAUCCCCAGGCUCAACCUGGGAACUGCGUCCGAUACUGGAUGGCUUGAAUUCGGGAGAGGGAUGCAGAAUUCCAGGUGUAGCGGUGAAAUGCGUAGAUAUCUGGAGGAAUACCGGUGGCGAAGGCAGCUCGCUGGGACGUAACUGACGCUGAGACGCGAAAGCGUGGGGAGCAAACAGG
This 253-nucleotide ribosomal RNA is filed under the name uncultured bacterium. RNAcentral describes it as "partial 16S ribosomal RNA". It matches the Rfam family "Bacterial small subunit ribosomal RNA", at positions 524 to 776 of the family's 1533-position model. The record is from RNAcentral.